UCAUUACACUGCAAAUGUGGGAAGCUAUAAAAGUCAACGAAGGGCUUGUAAAAGAACAUCCUCUGGACGUCUACAGACCAAAUGCUGCAAAGAACAUGUAAGGGAAUGCCUGAGAACCAUGGAGGAAGUUUUAAUGAAAUCAGAAGUAAACCGAACAACAUCAAUCUGUGCCAACAGUUCUGUGGCUGUCCUGCAUAAGCCCCCCAGUUUUGGCUGCAAUGGUCUUGAAAUGUAUGUCAGUGAACCUGAGAUGCAGGGAGCUGCAGAUAAGGAUUUGUCCAGCAGGAAAGUGAGAGUUCAACUGCCAAGUGAGGUGAAUCUUGGACCGAAUAAUACAGUUGCAUUCUUGAUGAUUCAGCUUCCA
Girardinichthys multiradiatus is the source of this 364-nucleotide long non-coding RNA. RefSeq lists it as uncharacterized. Lineage: Eukaryota; Metazoa; Chordata; Actinopteri; Cyprinodontiformes; Goodeidae. The record is from RefSeq and is a predicted model, not a curated record. The transcript has 3 exons.